GUGGGGAAUAUUGCGCAAUGGGCGAAAGCCUGACGCAGCGACGCCGCGUGAGGGAUGAAGGUUUUCGGAUCGUAAACCUCUGUCAGAAGGGAAGAAACUACAUUGUGCUAAUCAGCAGUGUACUGACGGUACCUUCAAAGGAAGCACCGGCUAACUCCGUGCCAGCAGCCGCGGUAAUACUGAGGGUGCAAGCGUUAAUCGGAAUUACUGGGCGUAAAGCGCACGUAGGCUGUAGUGUAAGUCAGGGGUGAAAUCCCACGGCUCAACCGUGGAACUGCCUUGGAUACUGCACAACUUGAAUCCGGGAGAGGGUGGCGGAAUUCCAGGUGUAGGAGUGAAAUCCGUAGAUAUCUGGAGGAACAUCAGUGGCGAAGGCGGCCACCUGGACCGGUAUUGACGCUGAGGUGCGAAAGCGUGGGGAGCAAACAGGAUUAGAUACCCGUGUAGUCC
This 450-nucleotide ribosomal RNA is filed under the name uncultured bacterium. RNAcentral's name for it is "partial 16S ribosomal RNA". It matches the Rfam family "Bacterial small subunit ribosomal RNA", at positions 354 to 796 of the family's 1533-position model. The record is from RNAcentral.